Molecule: ribosomal RNA, 862 nt
Filed under: Banksiamyces sp.
Lineage: Eukaryota; Fungi; Ascomycota; Leotiomycetes; Helotiales
Description: partial large subunit ribosomal RNA
Rfam family: Eukaryotic large subunit ribosomal RNA
Source: RNAcentral
UAUCAUUAGCGGAGGAAAAGAAACCAACAGGGAUUGCCUCAGUAACGGCGAGUGAAGCGGCACAAGCUCAAAUUUGAAAUCUGGCCCCCUCGGGGCCCGAGUUGUAAUUUGUAGAAGAUGCUUCGGGUGUGGUUCCGGUCUAAGUUCCUUGGAACAGGACGUCAUAGAGGGUGAGAAUCCCGUAUGUGACUGGGUACCUUCGCCCGUGUGAAGCUCUUUCGACGAGUCGAGUUGUUUGGGAAUGCAGCUCAAAAUGGGUGGUAAAUUUCAUCUAAAGCUAAAUAUUGGCCAGAGACCGAUAGCGCACAAGUAGAGUGAUCGAAAGAUGAAAAGCACUUUGGAAAGAGAGUUAAACAGUACGUGAAAUUGUUGAAAGGGAAGCGCUUGCAAUCAGACUUGCGCCUAGUUGAUCAUCCGGGCUUCUGCCCGGUGCACUCGAUUAGGCUCAGGCCAGCAUCGGUUUGGGUGGUUGGAUAAAGGCCUUGGGAACGUAGCCUCCUUCGGGGGGUGUUAUAGCCCUCGGCGCAAUGCAGCCUACCUGGACCGAGGACCGCGCCUUCGGGCUAGGAUGCUGGCGUAAUGGUUGUAAGCGACCCGUCUUGAAACACGGACCAAGGAGUUGACCUAAUUAGCGAGUGUUUGGGUGUCAAACCCAUACGCGUAAUGAAAGUGAACGGAGGUGAGAACCCUCGAGGGUGCAUCAUCGACCGAUCCUGAUGUCUUCGGAUGGAUUUGAGUAAGAGCUAAUUGGGUCUGACCCGAAAGAUGGUGAUCUAUACGUGAAUAGGGUGAAGCCAGAGGAAACUCUGGUGGAGGCUCGCAGCGGUUCUGACGUGCAAAUCGAUCGUCAAAUUUGCGUAUA